Long non-coding RNA from Juglans regia (Persian walnut), 506 nucleotides. RefSeq lists it as uncharacterized. NCBI's taxonomy places the organism in Eukaryota, Viridiplantae, Streptophyta, Magnoliopsida, Fagales, Juglandaceae. The transcript is spliced from 3 exons. The record is from RefSeq and is a predicted model, not a curated record.
ACAAAUCCAUCUCUGCUCUUCGAUGCUCCUUUCAUUCUCCUUCCUUUCCGUCUUGACCUUCUCUCGAUCUCUCUCUGUGAAAAUCAACUUCAUCUUCUAUCUCGAUCUCUCUCUUUGUCCUUCUGUUCAAUGGUCUUGGCGGCAGAGUGGAUUUCUCUUCUCUUUACCCAUUUUCGGCCCUCCAUUUUUCAUCUUGAGGAGGAGCUAAGACGCAAGCUCUUUUGAAUAUCUUUGUGAAUUUCUCUGCCAAGGAGAAGAGCUGAAAGCCUGCUACCAUUCCAAUGCAUGGACAAUAUUCACAAAUUCAGUUGUUGGCACACAGACAAAAAGGGAAAAAGGAGAGCACAUAGAACUGACAGACAAAAGGGAGAAAGGAAGGCAAAUGGAAUUGUGUUUUUUCCAAAUUGUAACUUAUUAUAAUGUUUUGUUAUUAUAAUGUAUAGGAAAAGACAAUUGUAUCCCUGCAUAGCCUAAACGUAUUGUAAUGUGGCACUGUUUUCCUUGCA